Molecule: long non-coding RNA, 649 nt
Organism: Diceros bicornis minor
Lineage: Eukaryota; Metazoa; Chordata; Mammalia; Perissodactyla; Rhinocerotidae
Exons: 3
Source: RefSeq, a predicted model, not a curated record
GAAGGGACCCUAACUGACUGGCAAGUUGCCUUCUCUGGCUGGAAGAACUACCUUCUCCCUGGACUACUGCAGAUGGUGAGAUACGGGAACGCCUGACGAAAGCCGGCAAAAGGUGUAGCGUAAACAUCCUGGGCCCUACCGCCCCAAGCCGCUCAACAGAUGGGUGGGGCCGCGCAAGGAGCCGCCUCGUGCGCGGGGAGGGAGCGGAGUCGCGUGCUGCAGCUGCUGGGGUCUGUGCGGGUCCCCCCCGAAGUUCCAGCGGCCCCGAGAGAGGAAGAAGCUGACUGCGGCCUCUGGAGCAGUGCACUCCUGGGGGUAAACAGGGAUGUUUGACUGCCAGGAAAAGGGAAUAGAACAGUUUCUCUCGGUAAACUUUCCACAAACAGGCCCUGAUGCCCAAAGACUGAACCACAGCUCAUUAUGGCUUUGUCUAAUGCCAGACUAUCCACUGCUUCUAUUCAACCAGAGGCUCCUUUCAACUUCAAAUCGAGCCUGGAGCUUUGAUCUGCCCGCGGGAUGCAAGACUCUGUCCUUGUUCGAAGCAAGUCUCUUGGAUUGUGAGAGCCUUUACUGCAAACUCAGCCAAUAAACCAUGCUACCUGGCUUGGGUUCUAUCUAUGAUUUCCCCACAUGCACUAAAAUUGUGAGA